This 493-nucleotide ribosomal RNA is filed under the name uncultured bacterium. Its description in RNAcentral is "partial 16S ribosomal RNA". It matches the Rfam family "Bacterial small subunit ribosomal RNA", at positions 29 to 523 of the family's 1533-position model. The record is from RNAcentral.
AUUGAACGCUGGCGGCAUGCUUUACACAUGCGAGUCGAACGGUAACAGGUUAAGCUGACGAGUGGCGAACGGGUGAGUAAUGCCUCGGAACGUGCUCGAGCGUGGGGGAUAACGCAGCGAAAGCUGCGCGAAUACCGCAUACGAUCUGAGGAUGAAAGCGGGGGACCGUAAGGCCUCGGGCGAUCGGCGCGGCCGAUGUCAGAUUAGGUAGUUGGUGGGGUAACGGCUCACCAAGCCGACGAUCUGUAGCCGGUCUGAGAGGGCGACCAGCCACACUGGGACUGAGACACGGCCCAGACUCCUACGGGAGGCAGCAGUGGGGAAUUUUGGACAAUGGGCGCAAGCCUGAUCCAGCAAUGCCGCGUGCAGGAAGAAGGCCUUCGGGUUGUAAACUGCUUUUGUACGGAGCGAAAAGGCUCUCUCUAAUACAGGGGGCUCAUGACGGUACCGUAAGAAUAAGCACCGGCUAACUACGUGCCAGCCGCCGCAGUAA